GCCGACGUGGUGGAAUUGGUAGACACGCUAUCUUGAGGGGGUAGUGGCGAAAGCCGUGCGAGUUCGAUUCUCGCCGUCGGCACCA
Molecule: transfer RNA, 85 nt
Filed under: Allopusillimonas soli
Lineage: Bacteria; Pseudomonadati; Pseudomonadota; Betaproteobacteria; Burkholderiales; Alcaligenaceae
Also listed under: 1 other name
Description: tRNA-Leu
Rfam family: tRNA
About the family: Transfer RNA (tRNA) molecules are approximately 80 nucleotides in length. Their secondary structure includes four short double-helical elements and three loops (D, anti-codon, and T loops). Further hydrogen bonds mediate the characteristic L-shaped molecular structure. tRNAs have two regions of fundamental functional importance: the anti-codon, which is responsible for specific mRNA codon recognition, and the 3' end, to which the tRNAs corresponding amino acid is attached (by aminoacyl-tRNA synthetases). tRNAs cope with the degeneracy of the genetic code in two manners: having more than one tRNA (with a specific anti-codon) for a particular amino acid; and 'wobble' base-pairing, i.e. permitting non-standard base-pairing at the 3rd anti-codon position.
Source: RNAcentral